GAUAAAGCAUAUUAAUGUCAUUAUCAAUUGGGAACCCAUGUACGGUGGAAAAUUAAAUAGCAUGGACAAACCUGCCAUGCAGCAUCUUACACAACAUUCACAUGUUCCUGGAGAAAUUUGGGAGACUAUGUUACCAUCCCACAAUGCCAAGAAAUAACCUUGGUGAGAUGUUAAUAAAAUCCUAAACACUCUCCCCUUGCAAGGAUGAGUUGACUCAGAGUGAUAGUCCAUAGAGUGAUAGUUUUUAGCUCAGUGAUACUAGAUUCGUAUCAAUAUCAGUCAGAGCCA
RNAcentral lists this unclassified non-coding RNA (288 nucleotides) under Hevea brasiliensis (rubber tree). Lineage: Eukaryota; Viridiplantae; Streptophyta; Magnoliopsida; Malpighiales; Euphorbiaceae. The record is from RNAcentral.